Molecule: ribosomal RNA, 254 nt
Filed under: uncultured bacterium
Lineage: Bacteria
Description: partial 16S ribosomal RNA
Rfam family: Bacterial small subunit ribosomal RNA
Source: RNAcentral
UACGUAGGGGCCAAGCGUUGUCCGGAUUUAUUGGGCGUAAAGAGCUCGUAGGCGGUUCGGCAAGUCAGCUGUGAAAUCUCCACGCUCAACGUGGAGGGGUCAGCUGAUACUGCUGUGACUCGAGUCCGGUAGGGGAGUGUGGAAUUCCCGGUGUAGCGGUGAAAUGCGCAGAUAUCGGGAGGAACACCUGUGGCGAAAGCGGCGCACUGGACCACAACUGACGCUGAGGCGCGAAAGCUAGGGGAGCAAACAGG